RNAcentral lists this ribosomal RNA (497 nucleotides) under uncultured bacterium. RNAcentral's name for it is "partial 16S ribosomal RNA". It matches the Rfam family "Bacterial small subunit ribosomal RNA", at positions 29 to 507 of the family's 1533-position model. The record is from RNAcentral.
AGUGAACGCUGGCGGCAUGCCUAAUACAUGCAAGUCGAGCGGACGGACGGGAAGCUCGCGUUCUUGCUGUUGGCGGCGGACGGGUGGGUGAGACGUGGAUAAGCUACCUCUUAGACUGGGAUAACUUCGGGGGACCGGAGAUACUAAUAGCUCAUAUGAUGUACGGGAUGGUUCAGAAGUGCUAGACGGUCUUGGCGUCACUUAUAGCUGAAGUCGCGCUGGAUUAGCUAGUUGGUAAGGUAACGGCUUACCAAGGCUACGAUGCAUAGCUGGCCUGAGAGGGUGAUCAGCCACACUGGAACUGAGACACGGUCCAGACUCCUACGGGAGGCAGCAGUAGGGAAUCUUCCACAAUGGGCGAAAGCCUGACGGAGCAACGCCGCGUGAGUGAUGAAGGUCUUCGGGUCGUAAAGCUCUGUUGUUGGGAAAGAACAGCAGCGUAUUAAACCGUGCACGUCCUGACGGUACCCAAAGAAUAAGCCACGGCUAACUUCGUG